GAUGAACGCUGGCGGCGUGCCUAAUACAUGCAAGUCGAGCGAACAGACGAGGAGCUUGCUCCUCUGACGUUAGCGGCGGACGGGUGAGUAACACGUGGAUAACCUACCUAUAGAACUGGGUUACCUUGGGAAACCGGAAGUUAUUCCCGAUAAUUUUUUUAACCCGCAUGUUUCAUUAUUGAAGGCCGUUUUUCCUUUCCUUUUAGAAUGGAUCCGCGCCGCAUUAGCUAGUUGGUAAGGUAACGGCUUACCAAGGCGACGAUGCGUAGCCGACCUGAGAGGGUGAUCGGCCACACUGGAACUGAGACACGGUCCAGACUCCUACGGGAGGCAGCAGUAGGGAAUCUUCCGCAAUGGGCGAAAGCCUGACGGAGCAACGCCGCGUGAGUGAUGAAGGUCUUCGGAUCGUAAAACUCUGUUAUUAGGGAAGAACAAAUGUGUAAGUAACUAUGCACGUCUUGACGGUACCUAAUCAGAAAGCCACGGCUAACUACGUG
RNAcentral lists this ribosomal RNA (497 nucleotides) under uncultured bacterium. RNAcentral's name for it is "partial 16S ribosomal RNA". It matches the Rfam family "Bacterial small subunit ribosomal RNA", at positions 28 to 507 of the family's 1533-position model. The record is from RNAcentral.